UUAGCAUUUAAUUUGAGGAAA
Molecule: non-coding RNA, 21 nt
Filed under: Caenorhabditis elegans
Lineage: Eukaryota; Metazoa; Nematoda; Chromadorea; Rhabditida; Rhabditidae
Source: RNAcentral